This 160-nucleotide ribosomal RNA is filed under the name uncultured bacterium. RNAcentral describes it as "partial 16S ribosomal RNA". It matches the Rfam family "Bacterial small subunit ribosomal RNA", at positions 355 to 533 of the family's 1533-position model. The record is from RNAcentral.
UGGGGAAUCUUAGACAAUGGGCGCAAGCCUGAUCUAGCCAUGCCGCGUGAGUGACGAAGGUCUUAGGAUCGUAAAGCUCUUUCGCCAGAGAUGAUAAUGACAGUAUCUGGUAAAGAAACCCCGGCUAACUCCGUGCCACAGCCGCGGUAAUACGGAGGGG